AACGCACAUUGCGCCCUUUGGUAUUCCGAAGGGCAUGCCUGUUCGAGCGUCAUUUCAAACCUCAAGCUCACGCUUGGUAUUGGGCGUCGUCCGCUAGGACGUGCCAGAAACCCGUAGGCAGUGGUGCCCGCCUCCCAGCGUAGUCAAUCUACCCGCUUCGGAGCGCGCGGUGCCGCCCGCCAGACGAACAACCCACUAUUUUCUAUGGUUUGACCUCGGAUCAGGUAGGGAUACCCGCUGAACUUAA
Molecule: unclassified non-coding RNA, 247 nt
Filed under: uncultured Tubeufiaceae
Lineage: Eukaryota; Fungi; Ascomycota; Dothideomycetes; Tubeufiales; Tubeufiaceae
Description: sequence contains ITS2
Rfam family: 5.8S ribosomal RNA (bases 1-52)
Source: RNAcentral